UGGGGAAUCUUGCACAAUGGGGGAAACCCUGAUGCAGCGACGCCGCGUGAGCGAUGAAGCCCUUCGGGGUGUAAAGCUCUUUCGACGGGAACGAUAAUGACGGUACCCGAAGAAGAAGCUGCGGCUAACUACGUGCCAGCAGCCGCGGUAAUACGUAGGCAGCAAGCGUUGUUCGGAAUUACUGGGCGUAAAGAGUGUGUAGGCGGUGCUCUAAGUUUGGUGUGAAAUCUCCCGGCUUAACUGGGAGGGUGCGCCGAAAACUGGAGUGCUCGAGUAUGGGAGAGGUAAGCGGAAUUCCUGGUGUAGCGGUGAAAUGCGUAGAUAUCAGGAGGAACACCCGUGGUGUAGACAGCUUACUGGACCAUCACUGACGCUGAGACACGAAAGCGUGGGUAGCAAACAGG
RNAcentral lists this ribosomal RNA (404 nucleotides) under uncultured bacterium. Its description in RNAcentral is "bacterial SSU rRNA". It matches the Rfam family "Bacterial small subunit ribosomal RNA", at positions 355 to 776 of the family's 1533-position model. The record is from RNAcentral.